UCGUUUACGUGUUUCCUUUCCUGGAAAGGAUUCUUGAGGGUUUACACAGCAUUCCUCCCCAAGCUACCGUCCGGGACUCAGACAACAGUUUUGGAAGCCACCAGGAUCUGUGCGUGGUCCUCUGAAUGAUAAUCACUUGGCUACUGAAGAUGUCCUCGUGCUUCUGAACGACCCAAAGCGUCAUACUUAGUACAUUUAACUUUUACAGGCUUCUGCCUGUGCGGUGUGAUGAGAGCUACGGGAGCUGGCGGCUUGCACGACUGGAGAAAGCACAGGGCUGCACGGGGAGUUCCCAUUCCACGCAAAAGGCCAGCCAACAACACAGCAGCCCCGUCCCUUGUAUCCCGGGUGAGCGUGAGCUUCGGCCUCUC
Molecule: long non-coding RNA, 371 nt
Organism: Ailuropoda melanoleuca (giant panda)
Lineage: Eukaryota; Metazoa; Chordata; Mammalia; Carnivora; Ursidae
Exons: 3
Source: RefSeq, a predicted model, not a curated record